Saccostrea echinata is the source of this 353-nucleotide long non-coding RNA. RefSeq lists it as uncharacterized. Lineage: Eukaryota; Metazoa; Mollusca; Bivalvia; Ostreida; Ostreidae. The transcript has 2 exons. The record is from RefSeq and is a predicted model, not a curated record.
ACUGCAGAGUUUGCACGCUUACAGGUCAAAUUCACAAUAUGUUGCGAUUACCUUCAAAAGUUGAUCCAGAAGAACAAAAGAAAAUAGCUAGAACGGGAUGUAUACAGAGUUUUUGCAUAUUUGCUGUAACAUGUGCCGUUAUUCGAUCUUUGCCAUACAUCAUGAAGCAAAUUAACUCUUAAUACAAGGAGACAAGUGUUCACAAUACAAGACUGCAUUUCGAUGAUUUAUAUCCAGAAAUAGGCACCAGACCAGAUGCUGCUUAACAAACUAUUUCUUAGAGGAUAUGUAAUAUUAAUAUAAGCAAAGCAGAUGUUAUUAAAUGCAUUAUUAUUAAAUGCAUUAUGCCGCAA